AUGCGUCUGUGUGCUCCCUGGGUGUAUGUGUGUAGCUCGGUUUUAUGGACACCCUCGCGUGGCCGGUACCCCAGUGUCCCAACGUGUCCCGACAUCCCCUCCCGUGGGUAUGUGCCUGGAAACCCUUUGCACACCCUUCCCUGUGUUUGUGGUCCGCGUGCCUUUGUGCGCCUGUGCUCCCCGUGCGCCUUUGAGGUCUACGUGCGUCUGGGUCCCUGCGUGUGCCCGCUCGCGCCCCCGUGUCCCCCGCGCGGGCCCCGGGAGCUGCGUCCUCACGCCCCGUGGGCAUCCCCGCGUGGGUCCCGGGGCGCCUGGCGGGAGGCCCCGGGGCACACGCGGGCGCCGCCGGACCCACCGCCCGGCACGGCGCGGGGAGGAGGGAGGGGGCGGCGGCGGCGGGGAGCGCGGGCACGUCACCGAGACAGACAGGCGGGCGGGCGGGCGGGAGGCGGCGGCCGCGGGUUCGAGCCGGCGCCGGAGCCCCGCGGCCCCCUCCCCCGGCCCGCGGCCUGGGGGGCCCCCGCCCAGCCCCGAAGCCGCCGAAAUGCAAUUUCCCGUGCAGGCGCCUCGACUCAGGGGGCUUUUCCGGGCUGGUUUGGAAAGAAGAGGGGCAACGCGGCGGCGGCCCGAAACGAGGUGAGCGCGGGCGCCGGGCAGGCGGGGGCGCCGCCCGCGGGGAGGGGGCGCGGCGGGGCGGGGCGGCGGCGGGACCCGGCUGCGGCCCCCUCGCGCACCUGCUCGCGGCCGGGGGUCGGCGCCCCGGCCUCUGCGGCCCGGCCCUCCAUUGUUGCGGAGGCUGGAGAAGGGGGGCGGGGAGGGCCCAGCGGCAUCUCUGCGUCUCGUCCUCCCGGAGAAGGGGCGCCGGGAAGGCCAGACCCCCCCAGACAGGACAGGCCCUCAAGUCCCCGAGCCUGCGCCUCGGGGGGGUGGGGGUGGGGGACGGCGGGCCGCGGUGCCCCCGCGGGGCGGGGACGCACGAUGGGGGGCGCAGGGGCAGCGGAGCACAGGCCGCCCGACACCUGA
Molecule: long non-coding RNA, 1023 nt
Filed under: Canis lupus familiaris (dog)
Lineage: Eukaryota; Metazoa; Chordata; Mammalia; Carnivora; Canidae
Description: lncRNA (ENSCAFG00030010749.1)
Source: RNAcentral